GUCUUUUUGAAUUAAAUUUAAAGUCUAACCUGCCCACUGAAAAUUUUAAAUGGCCGCAGUAUUCUAACUGUGCAAAGGUAGCAUAAUCAUUAGUCUUUUAAUUGAAGGCUGGAAUGAAUGGUUGGACGAAAUAUUAACUGUUUCAUUUAAAUUUUUUAUAGAAUUUUAUUUUUUAGUCAAAAAGCUAAAAUAAAUUUAAAAGACGAGAAGACCCUAUAAAUCUUUAUAUUUUGUUUAUUUUAAUUAUAAAGAUUAUUUUUAUUAUAAUAAGUUAAAAUAUUUUAUUGGGGUGAUAUUAAAAUUUAAAAAACUUUUAAUUUUUAAAACCAUUAAUUUAUGAAUAAUUGAUCCAUUAAUAAUGAUUAAAAAUUUAAGUUACUUUAGGGAUAACAGCGUAAUUUUUUUGGAGAGUUCAUAUCGAUAAAAAAGAUUGCGACCUCGAUGUUGGAUUAAGAUAUAAUUUUGGGUGUAGCCGUUCAAAUUUUAAGUCUGUUCGACUUUUAAAUUCUU
This 510-nucleotide ribosomal RNA is filed under the name Drosophila nr. basimacula 1 RL-2010. Its description in RNAcentral is "partial 16S ribosomal RNA". It matches the Rfam family "Bacterial large subunit ribosomal RNA", at positions 1825 to 2597 of the family's 2925-position model. Lineage: Eukaryota; Metazoa; Arthropoda; Insecta; Diptera; Drosophilidae. The record is from RNAcentral.